CGCGUGGGUAAUCUACCCUCGAAUCUGGGAUAACCCUUCGAAAGGGGGGCUAAUACCGGAUAACAUUCAUUUGUUUUCGGACGGAUGGAUCAAAGGUGGCCUCUACAAGUAAGCUACUGUUUGAGGAUGAGCCCGCGUACCAUUAGCUAGUUGGUGGGGUAAGGGCCUACCAAGGCUACGAUGGUUAGCUGGUCUGAGAGGAUGACCAGCCACACUGGAACUGACACACGGUCCAGACUCCUACGGGAGGCAGCAGUGAGGA
This 262-nucleotide ribosomal RNA is filed under the name uncultured delta proteobacterium. RNAcentral's name for it is "partial 16S ribosomal RNA". It matches the Rfam family "Bacterial small subunit ribosomal RNA", at positions 114 to 360 of the family's 1533-position model. The record is from RNAcentral. Lineage: Bacteria; Deltaproteobacteria.